UGUCUGGGUUGGUCGGAUCCCUGCUUGUGCAGCGACGAUCGCUCUUCCAUUCCUUUUCAUUCUUGCUCCAAGAGCGACAUGCCUUGGACUAACUCGGUUGCCUGUGCUGUAUACCUACGUCGUUGGAAUGCGCUUGUCUAAUCGUCCCUAAUUCACCUUGUGCUGCUCAUACUUGCGACGGGGUGAACCAUGUAGUGUCCUUGGUUUUCCGUUCUUGCCUUGCGUUGCGCGUCGCAUGAAUGGGCAAACUUUGUGAUGCUCGAAUUCUCGGAUACGGAACCUUACGCGGGCAAAGGGUCUUUGGCCUUGAUUUGCCCAAGCUAAGCGUUCUCGCUUCUUACGAACGACUGUCGCGCCCGUAUAUGACCUGAGGAUACUUUCGUCC
This 385-nucleotide unclassified non-coding RNA is filed under the name Astrotricha sp. 'Isabella'. RNAcentral describes it as "partial contains external transcribed spacer and 18S ribosomal RNA". Lineage: Eukaryota; Viridiplantae; Streptophyta; Magnoliopsida; Apiales; Araliaceae. The record is from RNAcentral.